AAGGAAUACAUUAUACCACAACUGACAGAAACGUUCUUGAAAUAUGACUGGCCUCGGGCUCAUUUGAACCAACUCGAUUUCUGUGAGUAAUUGUAGACGGAAAGGAGGCGUUAUUUAUGUUUAACUCCCUUUCCGUGAUAAAAAGCUCCACGAGAUAGAUAAAAAUGAAAGGAUACCACCUGCAGAUUUGUCAACCUUAGGUGUAUUUAUAGUGCUUGAUCUUAGGGUGGGCCUGGCCGGGUUGAGUGAUGACUCAGUGGUGUCAUAAGCGUCUGUCCACCGUGGCUAUAAUCUUCCCUUUUAGUAAGUGUAAUGCUGAAUUUUUAACAAGCUUUAACAUGUGCAAUACCUGGAGGUUGUAACAGGCGGGGUGACUGAUAUCCGGUGAUCAAUGAGAGGUUAAGGUAGUUUGGAAGAAGUGUUGAUGUAUAAAUGCAGAAAUGUAGGUCUCGUUUCCUUUAGAGGCGACUUGUAGUUGUUGUUUUUAUAAACUUGUGUUAGGUGUGUGUGUACGUGUGUAUUUACCUAGAUGUAUUUAUCUAGCUGUGGUUUAUGGGAAGAGGAGGCUAAGUUCGUGCUGUCCGUCUCGAAAUCUACUCUCACCCAGUUUUUUUCCAUAAAAUCAUGUAUAGUUAUUACAUUUACUAUUUCAUUUUGCAGCUCAUUCCAGAUUCCUGCAGUCCUUCUCGGGAAACUGUUCUUUUUAAUGUCCCUUCUACACACACCCUUCUUCACCUUCUCAUGCCCUAACUUUAUGAAGAAUACUGCCCAAGGGGCCGUAUUCUUCAUAGAGUUACGACAUGUGUCAUAGCUAUAGCAAACGCGUAUCAUAACUUAGAACAUCUACCAUAAGUCGUAUAUCAUGAGUUAUGACAUGAGUGAAACCGUCUAUCAUAACCGUCUGCUAUAUGUAGCGCUUGCUUGAUUUCAAAUAUUGAAAGACGUUGUAAACACUGGCUUUUACUGCUAAUUUAUAACUGCUAUAAUUAUUUCUUUCAUUUUUAUGUAUAAGAGAAAUAGUGGGUAAGAUAGAAAUUCAAUCUUUGAAACACUAAAUGUGGUCCCGUAGGAACGCCUCAGUUUAAACACUGUUCAGUUUUUUUUUUUUUUUUUUUAAUGUAGGAGGGACACUGGCCAAGGGCAACAAAAAUUCAAUAAAAAAAAAAAAAAGCCCACUGAGAUGCCAGUCCCAGAAAAAGGUCCGAAGCGGUAGUCAAAAAUUGAAGGAUAAGUGUCUUGAAACCUCCCUCUUAAUAGUGUGAGAACGGAGAGUUUAGUUCACGGAUUAUUAAGGUUGAGCAGUAUUUCUCGUUAUCAUACGAAGACGAAACCACCUGGUUGGAUCCUCGGAAUGCUGAGUAGGCUGUGUUAUACCAGGGUUAUAGGAAAAUGUAAUAAGGAGAUUCUUUAUUCUUACUAGGAGCCAGUCCCUUCUUGUCACCAUGUAUCUCAGGUGAAAAUGAUGUGUCUGGGGCUCAGCUGCAUAGACAGUGUAGAUGCGCUCAAAGAGGAAGUUGUGUCUGUGAGAGAGGUGGAACCAUCCACUGACUGGAGGUUUGUAGUGCACAUAGACCUGGUUGGUGCCCCAGCAACCACAAGUGUUGCCCACCACUGCAGAUGCACAUACAUCUUCCAGUAUAACACUCACCAAUCAGCCAGAAGUCAUGAUCAUCAGCCUUGGUCAGAUUAUAAUAAUAUUUACGAUACGUGUAGUGCUCAUGUUUAUGCUUUAAUUUAGUGCUGUUGAUCAAGG
Scylla paramamosain (green mud crab) is the source of this 1753-nucleotide long non-coding RNA. RefSeq lists it as uncharacterized. The transcript has 3 exons. The record is from RefSeq and is a predicted model, not a curated record. Lineage: Eukaryota; Metazoa; Arthropoda; Malacostraca; Decapoda; Portunidae.